AUCAAGCGUGAACUCGACCCUCACGUGAACGCGCGUGAGACACUUGACCGGAAGCAAUGUUUUAUAGUUAAAGUUUAAAACAUGAGUAUUUUUCUUACACACACUUAUCGUUUGGCUCCAGAAGACACUGAUUCAUCCACUGGGGUCGUAUGGAUUUUUCUAAAAAUCUUCAUUUAUCUUCAUCUGAAGAAAGAAAGUCAUAUACAUCUGGGAUGGCAUGAGGCUGAGUCAUUGCAGAGUUUAAUCGCUUCACAAGCAAAAGCCUCAAGCAAGAUUUCUUCUCAACACUUGAUCAACAUACAGCUCGUUUUCUGGAAAUUUUUGAAUCAAAGAAGGGGCAGUUGGAAAGAGGCUUUCUGAGAUCUUUGAGCAAAUUAAGUCUAUGAGCACUGACAUCACUGCUAAGCACACAGCAGUUCUACGUGGCCUUCCUCUCAUUCUGGAGAAGAAACCACUGACUUUUUUCAAACACGUUUGG
Pangasianodon hypophthalmus (striped catfish) is the source of this 478-nucleotide long non-coding RNA. RefSeq lists it as uncharacterized. The record is from RefSeq and is a predicted model, not a curated record. The transcript is spliced from 3 exons. NCBI's taxonomy places the organism in Eukaryota, Metazoa, Chordata, Actinopteri, Siluriformes, Pangasiidae.